CACUUAUUUAUAUGGUUCAUCCACUCCGACUUCUCCGUAGCAGUGGCAGCAUAAACUGCAAAAGACUUAGUAGGCGUCUUGAUGAGCCACCCAUUCCGCAAGUCUCCCUCAUCCUGGAUGGAAUCAAUGGUGACGUUUUCCAACGGGAUUAUGUGCUGCUUAUUGUAUUUCUUCUUCUGGAUGACAAUAUUACCAUAAACAAGAAUGUCAUUGAACAGGAAGAACUGCCUCGCUUUGGGCUUCUUCCUACACAGCUUCGUUAAUACUCCCUCUCCAAUGAGAACACGACCAGGGAUAGUCAAAGGCUGACCAGCUGCUCCAAAGCAGUUUUCCACUAUACUUAUUCUUCUAGUAUUUGCCUCGCUGUUUGCCAAACGAUCCACCAUCUUUCACAAGUAUCCCUGCCCCGCCCGGCACUCCGCGCUCCGGCAGCC
RNAcentral lists this long non-coding RNA (434 nucleotides) under Gallus gallus (chicken). Lineage: Eukaryota; Metazoa; Chordata; Aves; Galliformes; Phasianidae. The record is from RNAcentral.